Molecule: ribosomal RNA, 253 nt
Filed under: uncultured bacterium
Lineage: Bacteria
Description: partial 16S ribosomal RNA
Rfam family: Bacterial small subunit ribosomal RNA
Source: RNAcentral
UACGUAGGGUCCGAGCGUUAAUCGGAAUUAUUGGGCGUAAAGCGCGCGCAGGUGGUUCCUUAAGUCUGAUGUGAAAGCCCACGGCUCAACCGUGGAGGGUCAUUGGAAACUGGGGGACUUGAGUGCAGAAGAGGAAAGUGGAAUUCCAAGUGUAGCGGUGAAAUGCGUAGAGAUUUGGAGGAACACCAGUGGCGAAGGCGACUUUCUGGUCUGUAACUGACACUGAGGCGCGAAAGCGUGGGGAGCAAACAGG